UGGGGGAUAUUGCACAAUGGGCGAAAGCCUGAUGCAGCGACGCCGCGUGGGGGAUGAAGGCUUUCGGGUUGUAAACCUCUUUCGCUAUCGAACAAGGCCCGCUUAGGGUGGGUUGAGGGUAGGUGGAGAAGAAGCGCCGGCUAACUACGUGCCAGCAGCCGCGGUAAUACGUAGGGCGCGAGCGUUGUCCGGAAUUAUUGGGCGUAAAGGGCUUGUAGGCGGCUUGUUGCGCCUGCUGUGAAAACGCGGGGCUUAACUUCGCGCGUGCAGUGGGUACGGGCAGGCUUGAGUGUGGUAGGGGUGACUGGAAUUCCAGGUGUAGCGGUGGAAUGCGCAGAUAUCUGGAGGAACACCGACGGCGAAGGCAGGUCACUGGGCCAUUACUGACGCUGAGGAGCGAAAGCAUGGGUAGCGAACAGG
RNAcentral lists this ribosomal RNA (420 nucleotides) under bacterium. RNAcentral describes it as "partial 16S ribosomal RNA". It matches the Rfam family "Bacterial small subunit ribosomal RNA", at positions 355 to 776 of the family's 1533-position model. The record is from RNAcentral.